Molecule: ribosomal RNA, 757 nt
Filed under: Salmonella enterica
Lineage: Bacteria; Pseudomonadati; Pseudomonadota; Gammaproteobacteria; Enterobacterales; Enterobacteriaceae
Description: partial 23S ribosomal RNA
Rfam family: Bacterial large subunit ribosomal RNA
Source: RNAcentral
CCGACCUUGAAAUACCACCCUUUAAUGUUUGAUGUUCUAACGUGGACCCGUGAUCCGGGUUGCGGACAGUGUCUGGUGGGUAGUUUGACUGGGGCGGUCUCCUCCUAAAGAGUAACGGAGGAGCACGAAGGUUGGCUAAUCCUGGUCGGACAUCAGGAGGUUAGUGCAAUGGCAUAAGCCAGCUUGACUGCGAGCGUGACGGCGCGAGCAGGUGCGAAAGCAGGUCAUAGUGAUCCGGUGGUUCUGAAUGGAAGGGCCAUCGCUCAACGGAUAAAAGGUACUCCGGGGAUAACAGGCUGAUACCGCCCAAGAGUUCAUAUCGACGGCGGUGUUUGGCACCUCGAUGUCGGCUCAUCACAUCCUGGGGCUGAAGUAGGUCCCAAGGGUAUGGCUGUUCGCCAUUUAAAGUGGUACGCGAGCUGGGUUUAGAACGUCGUGAGACAGUUCGGUCCCUAUCUGCCGUGGGCGCUGGAGAACUGAGGGGGGCUGCUCCUAGUACGAGAGGACCGGAGUGGACGCAUCACUGGUGUUCGGGUUGUCAUGCCAAUGGCACUGCCCGGUAGCUAAAUGCGGAAGAGAUAAGUGCUGAAAGCAUCUAAGCACGAAACUUGCCCCGAGAUGAGUUCUCCCUGAGACUUAGAGUCUCCUGAAGGAACGUUGAAGACGACGACGUUGAUAGGCCGGGUGUGUAAGCGCAGCGAUGCGUUGAGCUAACCGGUACUAAUGAACCGUGAGGCUUAACCUUACAACGCCGAAG